This 252-nucleotide ribosomal RNA is filed under the name uncultured bacterium. RNAcentral's name for it is "partial 16S ribosomal RNA". It matches the Rfam family "Bacterial small subunit ribosomal RNA", at positions 524 to 776 of the family's 1533-position model. The record is from RNAcentral.
UACGUAGGUCCCGAGCGUUGCCCGGAUUUAUUGGGCGUAAAGCGAGCGCAGGUGGUUUAUUAAGUCUGGUGUAAAAGGCAGUGGCUCAACCAUUGUAUGCAUUGGAAACUGGUAGACUUGAGUGCAGGAGAGGAGAGUGGAAUUCCAUGUGUAGCGGUGAAAUGCGUAGAUAUAUGGAGGAACACCGGUGGCGAAAGCGGCUCUCUGGACUGUAACUGACACUGAGGCACGAAAGCGUGGGGAGCAAACAGG